RNAcentral lists this long non-coding RNA (280 nucleotides) under Setaria viridis. RNAcentral describes it as "long non-coding RNA (SVIR_LNC001599)". Lineage: Eukaryota; Viridiplantae; Streptophyta; Magnoliopsida; Poales; Poaceae. The record is from RNAcentral.
GAGGAUAUGAAAUGUAGUUGACGAAAGUACAAAAUAAAAGCGCGUAAUUUCGGAUAAUUCUAUUUGUACAAAGGCAAAUAGUAUGUAGGUUCUUAUAAUUUUUAAGAAGAAUGAGGUCAUACCGGUGAAGCAAUUUUUGAAAUGUAGACCUAAUUAUGAUGAGUACAAAGGGCUCAUUAGCAAUACAGACACCAAAUACAUUUGCCAACUAGGUGGGCCAUACUAGAUGGUCCAAGUCCAUCAGAUGAUCACUUGAUUUACUCAUAAUGUAAACCAUUAC